Long non-coding RNA from Capsicum annuum, 749 nucleotides. RefSeq lists it as uncharacterized. NCBI's taxonomy places the organism in Eukaryota, Viridiplantae, Streptophyta, Magnoliopsida, Solanales, Solanaceae. The record is from RefSeq and is a predicted model, not a curated record. The transcript has 4 exons.
UUCAGGUCCAGGAUUUGCAUUCCAUUACUCCUGACUGCUGCUUGGAAGUUAGUGUACAGUUAUUCAUCCCCUUUCUUAUCAACAGGUGCUUAAUAAAGAAAAUCAAUGGCAUCAAAAGGUCAUGGUAAUGGAUGGCGUAAGAAAGGUAAGAAAGGAACUGAUAAUCUUCCCGUAGGUCAAUAUACACCACUACCACCACCACCUCCCGUUACCACAGCUCUUCAAGGCAAAUAUUUCACUACCAAAUGCAUUUUUCAUGCCCCCACCGUCCCACCAGUUCCAACCCUCUUCUCCCCACAAUAGUCUGCAUAGUAGCUCUUCAUCUGUACCUUCAACAUCAUCCACACCUAGCCUUUAUGGAUUGAGAAUUGGAGGUGCUAGCACAUCAACAUCUCCAUCCGUUGAUAGUGGUACAACGUCUAAUGCCACAACAGCUGCUUCCCAGAUUUUGAAAUUUAAAGAGGUAGUACAAUAUGACAACGGCCGGCUAAUUAUCGCCCCUGAUGGUGGUAAUGGGUUCAUUCUCGUAUGUAGCGGCGAACAUAUGAUUGUAGAAGCAAUUAAACCAUUUUACACGGAGUCGUGGGGUAGUUGGAAUGAGAUACACUCGACGUCAGAAUUCUUAUGUGUAACCAAUUUAUGACAAAGUAUGCAUGGAAUUCUUGUCAUGAAAAUGAAAUACAACGCAUUUUUAAGCUCAAAGCAGCUCUACGGAUCAAAUAACACUUAUAUGAGGCCCGAAAAAAUUU